GGGGAUGUAAUUCAGUGGUAGAGCACUUGCUCUAACCCAUGCUCGAGGCUCUGGGUUCAAUCCCCAGAACUCCA
RNAcentral lists this transfer RNA (74 nucleotides) under Marmota monax (woodchuck). Its description in RNAcentral is "tRNA.Sup". Lineage: Eukaryota; Metazoa; Chordata; Mammalia; Rodentia; Sciuridae. The record is from RNAcentral.